GCCUACGGGAGGCAGCAGUAGGGAACCUUCCACAAUGGGCGAAAGCCUGAUGGAGCAACGCCGCGUGGGUGAAGAAGGUCUUCGGAUCGUAAAACCCUGUUGUUAGAGAAGAAAGUGCGUGAGAGUAACUGUUCACGUUUCGACGGUAUCUAACCAGAAAGCCACGGCUAACUACGUGCCAGCAGCCGCGGUAAUACGUAGGUGGCAAGCGUUAUCCGGAUUUAUUGGGCGUAAAGGGAACGCAGGCGGUCUUUUAAGUCUGAUGUAAAAGCCUUCGGCUUAACCGGAGUAGUGCAUUGGAAACU
Molecule: ribosomal RNA, 305 nt
Filed under: uncultured bacterium
Lineage: Bacteria
Description: bacterial SSU rRNA
Rfam family: Bacterial small subunit ribosomal RNA
Source: RNAcentral